CUUAUCGGAUUGAAUGGGCUGCUUAGAGGUCCCUGGAAAUAGCUCCAUCGCUAGAUCGUACCCUAAACCGACACAGGUGGUCAGGUAGAGAAUACCAAGGCGCUUGAGAGAACUCGGGUGAAGGAACUAGGCAAAAUGGUAACGUAACUUCGG
This 153-nucleotide ribosomal RNA is filed under the name Lankesteria abbotti. RNAcentral's name for it is "partial Bacterial large subunit ribosomal RNA". It matches the Rfam family "Bacterial large subunit ribosomal RNA", at positions 1576 to 1739 of the family's 2925-position model. Lineage: Eukaryota; Apicomplexa; Conoidasida; Eugregarinorida; Lecudinidae. The record is from RNAcentral.